Long non-coding RNA from Harmonia axyridis, 1210 nucleotides. RefSeq lists it as uncharacterized. NCBI's taxonomy places the organism in Eukaryota, Metazoa, Arthropoda, Insecta, Coleoptera, Coccinellidae. The record is from RefSeq and is a predicted model, not a curated record. The transcript has 4 exons.
CUCAGUAUUCUGGUAUUCUAUGCAUCUUACUUUAGACCACCUCAGUUGGCUAAAUCUGCAUAAUUCUUUGUUUUAAUUAUUUUGUAUUUUCAUUUAUAACCAUUAGAAGUGAUAUUAGAUAUGCCUUGCAAGUGUUUUUUGUGUGGUUUCACUUAUAUUGUAGGAGGUGAAAUUAGUCUUCACAGCUGAGUUCCAUCCCAUAGGCGUGCAGAAUCCUGUUUUUUUUUCCUUAGAGCAUAUAUUCAACUUCCAUCGAAUCAACUUGAACGAGAAAAAUGGUUGCAGAGAAUUUCUUGGAACUGACCGAAGUUGGAGAAAAAAAUUUUUUCUUUGCUCAAAUCACUUCCCUGAGGAUUGCUUUCGACUAAUGAUCCUAUGAAAGAGGCUUAUACCAGGAAGUUUGCCUUCUCCUUCUGAAAUCAAAUUGGAAAUACCUCUAUAAGUUGUAACGAGAACUUAUUUUCAUAAUUUUUCGUAUUUAUUAUAAUUCCAUGCAAUGAAAAUCUUCCUCAGAAUAUCAUCAUCUAAUAUAAAAAAAUUUGUAGGACCUACUCAGAAGGGAAUGGAACUAUUGAAGCACAGGACAGAAUCUGAUUCUAAAACACAAGAGAGAUUUGAGACUUCAGCUACUUUUAACUCUCCUUCAAAAUGUGCAUCUUCUAGCUCUAGUGACACUAAGAACCUAAGGCUUAUCCAAGGAGGUUUGCCUUCGGAAAUUAAAUUGGAAAUACCUCUGACUCAGAAGGGAAUGGAAGUAUUGAAGAACAAGACUCUACGGAAUCUCUAUAUGAUUCUAAAAUACAAUCUCCAUCAAAAAAAAUAAUUGAGAUUUGACACUCCAAUUACCAAUGAUCCAGAAGAAACACUGACUUUAACCUCUCCUUCAAAAUGUGCAUCAUUUAGCUCUAAUGCCAAUUCUUUCUCUGGGAAACGAAGAAUAUCCAAAAUGAAGAUUCACCACGAAUUGAGAAAUCGACAGAGUGCAAAAUUAGAUUUGAAUCGGUUGAGAAGUAGAUUGACAAAAACUAUAUUUGAAAAUCAAUAGAAUUUUCUAAUAAUGUUUGAAACCAAUAAUUUUAUUUAUACUGUAAUUCUGUCAUAAAUAUAUACUGUUGUUUUAUUGAACCGAUAGAUUUUUUUAAUAAUAUUUGUAAACCAAUUAUUUAUAUUCUGUAUUUCUGAGAUAAAUAUAUUCUGUUGUUUUUUCUAA